Cladophialophora psammophila CBS 110553 is the source of this 113-nucleotide transfer RNA. It matches the Rfam family "tRNA". From Rfam's summary of the family: Transfer RNA (tRNA) molecules are approximately 80 nucleotides in length. Their secondary structure includes four short double-helical elements and three loops (D, anti-codon, and T loops). The record is from Rfam. NCBI's taxonomy places the organism in Eukaryota, Fungi, Ascomycota, Eurotiomycetes, Chaetothyriales, Herpotrichiellaceae.
UAGCCUGUGACGCAGUGGUUAGCGUGUCGUUCUUAUAUUGUAUGCUCCCGUCGCAUCCAGUAUGACUCUUUCGAGCAAUGCGAAAGUCGCGAGUUCAAGUCUCGCCAGGAUCA